UGGGGAAUAUUGCACAAUGGGCGCAAGCCUGAUGCAGCCAUGCCGCGUGUGUGAAGAAGGCCUUCGGGUUGUAAAGCACUUUCAGCGGGGAGGAAGGCGUUAAGGUUAAUAACCUUGGCGAUUGACGUUACCCGCAGAAGAAGCACCGGCUAACUCCGUGCCAGCAGCCGCGGUAAUACGGAGGGUGCAAGCGUUAAUCGGAAUUACUGGGCGUAAAGCGCACGCAGGCGGUCUGUCAAGUCGGAUGUGAAAUCCCCGGGCUCAACCUGGGAACUGCAUUAGAAACUGGCAGGCUAGAGUCUUGUAGAGGGGGGUAGAAUUCCAUGUGUAGCGGUGAAAUGCGUAGAGAUGUGGAGGAAUACCGGUGGCGAAGGCGGCCCCCUGGACAAAGACUGACGCUCAGGUGCGAAAGCGUGGGGAGCAAACAGG
RNAcentral lists this ribosomal RNA (429 nucleotides) under Chloroflexota bacterium. Its description in RNAcentral is "Chloroflexi bacterium partial 16S ribosomal RNA". It matches the Rfam family "Bacterial small subunit ribosomal RNA", at positions 355 to 776 of the family's 1533-position model. Lineage: Bacteria; Bacillati; Chloroflexota. The record is from RNAcentral.